AUGAGGCCCAAGUGGGACACCCCUCUCAACCGGGCCUUGAACGAACUUAAGGGACUCCCGUUGGACCAGCGGCCGCAAUAUGGUCGUGUGCACGGCGCUGGAGACGGCGCCACGUGGAAGAUGUUUUACAACAACGGCCCGGAGGCCAAGAAGCAGAAAAAGAAGUUUAGUCAGGCAGACAUCAACGCAAAGGUGAAGCUUGCGGUCGAGAAAAAAGCAGCUGAGGACGCGAAAAAAGCAGCCGAGGACAAAUAUGAGUUGCUACAGCAGGCAGUCAAUGCAGCUGUAACUGCCUGCAGAAAUGAUUUUGCUACUAACUUGGUUCCAGUUAUCAUCAACUGGGCGAAGGAAAAUCCAGACAAGACGGUACAUGAUUUCCCGAUGCCCAGUUUCGUCGCGAGCAACUCCAUGAACAAUAACACCAUCGCACCAUCACUUGUUCAAGCAACCGGGCCUCCUCUCGCAGCCGCUCCCGCUCAUAGCAGCCCGUCCUCAGUCUCAGGCACGCUAGGUGGGCCUUCGUCUUUGGCUGAGCUCAACACCGUCACGGUAAUUACAUGUCGCACCAACAUAUAUAUAUAUAUAUAUAUAUAUAGAUAA
Molecule: ribosomal RNA, 600 nt
Filed under: Triticum aestivum (bread wheat)
Lineage: Eukaryota; Viridiplantae; Streptophyta; Magnoliopsida; Poales; Poaceae
Description: partial small subunit ribosomal RNA
Source: RNAcentral